AGAGUUUGAUCCUGGCUCAGGACGAACGCUGGCGGCGUGCCUAAUACAUGCAAGUCGAGCGAAUCGAUGGGAGCUUGCUCCCUGAGAUUAGCGGCGGACGGGUGAGUAACACGUGGGCAACCUGCAUAUAAGAUUGGGAUAACUUCGGGAAACCGGAGCUAAUACCGGAUACGUUCUUUUCUCGCAUGAGAGAAGAUGGAAAGACGGUUUACGCUGUCACUUAUAGAUGGGCCCGCGGCGCAUUAGCUAGUUGGUGAGGUAAUGGCUCACCAAGGCGACGAUGCGUAGCCGACCUGAGAGGGUGAUCGGCCACACUGGGACUGAGACACGGCCCAGACUCCUACGGGAGGCAGCAGUAGGGAAUCUUCCGCAAUGGACGAAAGUCUGACGGAGCAACGCCGCAUGAGUGAUGAAGGCUUUCGGGUCGUAAAACUCUGUUGUUAGGGAAGAACAAGUACGAGAGUAACUGCUCGUACCUUGACGGUACCUAACCAGAAAGCCACGGCUAACUACGUGCCAGCAGCCGCGGUAAUACGUAGGUGGCAAGCGUUAUCCGGAAUUAUUGGGCGUAAAGCGCGCGCAGGCGAUUUCUUAAGUCUGAUGUGAAAGCCCACGGCUCAACCGUGGAG
This 629-nucleotide ribosomal RNA is filed under the name uncultured marine bacterium. RNAcentral's name for it is "bacterial SSU rRNA". It matches the Rfam family "Bacterial small subunit ribosomal RNA", at positions 8 to 620 of the family's 1533-position model. The record is from RNAcentral.